GACGAACGCUGGCGGCGUGCUUAACACAUGCAAGUCGAACGGAAAGGCCCUGCUUUUGUGGGGUGCUCGAGUGGCGAACGGGUGAGUAACACGUGAGUAACCUGCCCUUUACUUUGGGGUAACUUCAGGAAACUGGGGCUAAUACCGGAUAGGAGCUCCUGCUGCAUGGUGGGGGUUGGAAAGUUUCGGCGGUUGGGGAUGGACUCGCGGCUUAUCAGCUUGUUGGUGGGGUAGUGGCUUACCAAGGCUUUGACGGGUAGCCGGCCUGAGAGGGUGACCGGCCACAUUGGGACUGAGAUACGGCCCAGACUCCUACGGGAGGCAGCAGUGGGGAAUAUUGCACAAUGGGCGGAAGCCUGAUGCAGCAACGCCGCGUGCGGGAUGACGGCCUUCGGGUUGUAAACCGCUUUCGCCUGUGACGAAGCGUGAGUGACGGUAAUGGGUAAAGAGGCACCGGCUAACUACGUG
RNAcentral lists this ribosomal RNA (468 nucleotides) under uncultured bacterium. RNAcentral's name for it is "partial 16S ribosomal RNA". It matches the Rfam family "Bacterial small subunit ribosomal RNA", at positions 28 to 507 of the family's 1533-position model. The record is from RNAcentral.